UACGUAGGGGGCAAGCGUUGUCCGGAAUCAUUGGGCGUAAAGAGCGUGUAGGCGGUCCGGUAAGUCUGAUGUGAAAGCCCACGGCUCAACCGUGGAGGGUCAUUGGAAACUGGGGGACUUGAGUACAGAAGAGGAAAGCGGAAUUCCACGUGUAGCGGUGAAAUGCGUAGAGAUGUGGAGGAACACCAGUGGCGAAGGCGGCUUUCUGGUCUGUAACUGACGCUGAGGCGCGAAAGCGUGGGGAGCAAACAGG
This 253-nucleotide ribosomal RNA is filed under the name uncultured bacterium. RNAcentral describes it as "partial 16S ribosomal RNA". It matches the Rfam family "Bacterial small subunit ribosomal RNA", at positions 524 to 776 of the family's 1533-position model. The record is from RNAcentral.